Molecule: transfer RNA, 60 nt
Filed under: Caudoviricetes sp.
Lineage: Duplodnaviria; Heunggongvirae; Uroviricota; Caudoviricetes
Description: tRNA-OTHER
Rfam family: tRNA
About the family: Transfer RNA (tRNA) molecules are approximately 80 nucleotides in length. Their secondary structure includes four short double-helical elements and three loops (D, anti-codon, and T loops). Further hydrogen bonds mediate the characteristic L-shaped molecular structure. tRNAs have two regions of fundamental functional importance: the anti-codon, which is responsible for specific mRNA codon recognition, and the 3' end, to which the tRNAs corresponding amino acid is attached (by aminoacyl-tRNA synthetases). tRNAs cope with the degeneracy of the genetic code in two manners: having more than one tRNA (with a specific anti-codon) for a particular amino acid; and 'wobble' base-pairing, i.e. permitting non-standard base-pairing at the 3rd anti-codon position.
Source: RNAcentral
CGGCAUAUAGCUUAAUCGGCAAAGCGUAAAUGUUAGGGGUUCAAGUCCUCUUAUGCCGUA